RNAcentral lists this ribosomal RNA (512 nucleotides) under Candidatus Mycoplasma haematoparvum. Its description in RNAcentral is "bacterial SSU rRNA". It matches the Rfam family "Bacterial small subunit ribosomal RNA", at positions 28 to 539 of the family's 1533-position model. Lineage: Bacteria; Bacillati; Mycoplasmatota; Mollicutes; Mycoplasmatales; Mycoplasmataceae. The record is from RNAcentral.
GAUUAAUGCUGGUGGUAUGCAUAACACAUGCAAGUUGACGAAGAGGGCUUGCCCUCUUAGUGGCGAACGGGCGAGUAACGCAUAUUUAACUUACUUACGCGAGGAGAAUAGCAAUCCGAAAGGGUUAUUAAUAUUUCAUAGGUUUAAGACUUAAAUUAAAGGGGGCGUUCCUUCGGGAGCCCCGCGCGUAAAUAGGAAUAUGUCCUAUUAGGUUGUUGGUGGGGUAAAUGCCUACCAAGCCGUUGAUGGGUAGCUGGGCUGAGAGGCCGACCAGCCGCAAUGGGAUUGAAAUAUGGCCCAUAUUCCUACGGGAAGCAGCAGUGAGGAAUUUUUCACAAUGGACGAAAGUCUGAUGGAGCAAUACCACGUGAACGAUGAAGAUCUUCUGAUUGUAAAGUUCUUUUAUUUAGGAAAAAAAGCUUGAUAGGAAAUGAUUAAGCCUUGAUCGUACUAAAUGAAUAAGUGACAGCUAACUAUGUGCCAGCAGCUGCGGUAAAACAUAGGUCACGAGC